This is a long non-coding RNA of Phoenix dactylifera (date palm), 1220 nucleotides long. RefSeq lists it as uncharacterized. The record is from RefSeq and is a predicted model, not a curated record. Lineage: Eukaryota; Viridiplantae; Streptophyta; Magnoliopsida; Arecales; Arecaceae.
AACCCUCGUUCUUCCUCUUUUCUUCCUUCGAGUCCACGGCUUCUCAUCACCGUGCUGACUGAAAAUCGGGGCCGCGACGCUCGUCGGAGCCGAUUACGUUCAGAAAUCAGAUGUAAGAACAGAUUUUACAUGCAGCAUCUCAAUGAAUGAUGAUAAGGUUGGCUUCCACGAAAUUAAUGCCACAUGCCAAAAGUUGCAAGACAUUGUUCAUGAAGGAAAUAUGAACACGAGGGGAAAAAUCAAACUUUUCUACCAUGAACUAAGUUGUACUAUUUUGGAUCUGAUUUACGUCCAACAGAGGGCAAGAAUGCUGUGUGCUUUCUCGGAAGAAUGAGAGUUUGCAAGAAAUUUCAUCAUUCAUGUGGCAGUCUCGUUGUCUCGUGGUUAAGAAUGUCUUAUAUGUACAUGACCUAAUCAGAAGAUGCAAUUCUGAGGGAACAAAAAAACCAAGAAGGCAUAAAGCAAUACAAGCUGAGAAACAAUGUGAAAUACAUUUACAAAGCACCAGCCAAAGUGGCUCUCGGCAAUCGUAGUUGAAGCUUUAGGCUUCAAUAUUAAAUGGAAGUUGAAAUUUUAACAUUGAAUAUUACUAUAUUUUAAAAGGUUAUUGAUCUAACUGUUGGAAAAAAUUUCAGGGUAGCUAUGUUCUCACAUCACUUACUGAUCAAGACAGUUGAAACUUUUCUGACGUUCUUGAAAGUAAGAAAACCUUUUACUUGAUGUAACAGGAGGGCUAAUAGAAUAACUCACUGUUAAUCUGUUUCAUUAUUAAUGAAAUAGGUAAUAUUUAGAAUGCACAGUGGUAGAAGGCUGUUUGACUUGGAGAAGUUGACAAGCACAUUUGCAUUGGAACAACAAAAUAUGUGGAAUAAGUAUUUCUACUAGCUUAGGCAGAUACCGCACAUAGGGGUGAUUCAAGGUAGUGCAAUGCUUCUGGGCCAAAUGCAAAUCCAGAGGAUUUAACAUUCUUUUUCAUAUAUUCAAUUCUCUUUCUUUCAGUUUUGCUGUGACUGACAAGAGUUGGAGUUGGAGAGCGAUUAUUGGAAGAUAAAGAGACUAAGGGCACAUCAUAAUGAAAGUAAUGAAGUAAUUUUAGGAUUAACGCAUAAAUAACAAAAAAAUUCUUACAGUUGAGCAGAACUAAAUUGAAAUAAGCGUGAGAAAGAACUUGCAUAAGGUUACAAAUUCCAAAUUUAUCUAACAACAGAUUACAAAGUAAA